This 908-nucleotide ribosomal RNA is filed under the name uncultured bacterium. RNAcentral's name for it is "bacterial SSU rRNA". It matches the Rfam family "Bacterial small subunit ribosomal RNA", at positions 33 to 932 of the family's 1533-position model. The record is from RNAcentral.
ACGCUAGCUACAGGCUUAACACAUGCAAGUCGAGGGGAACCGGCAUUAAGUGCUUGCACUUUUUGGACGUCGACCGGCGCACGGGUGAGUAACGCGUAUCCAACCUUCCCAUGACUAAGGGAUAACCUGCCGAAAGGCAGACUAAUACCUUAUGGUCUUCACUGACGGCAUCAGAUGUGAAGUAAAGAUUUAUCGGUUAUGGAUGGGGAUGCGUCUGAUUAGCUUGUUGGCGGGGUAACGGCCCACCAAGGCAACGAUCAGUAGGGGUUCUGAGAGGAAGGUCCCCCACAUUGGAACUGAGACACGGUCCAAACUCCUACGGGAGGCAGCAGUGAGGAAUAUUGGUCAAUGGGCGAGAGCCUGAACCAGCCAAGUAGCGUGCAGGAUGACGGCCCUAUGGGUUGUAAACUGCCUUUGUAUGGGGAUAAAGUCAAUCACGUGUGAUUGUUUGCAGGUACCAUACGAAUAAGGACCGGCUAAUUCCGUGCCAGCAGCCGCGGUAAUACGGAAGGUCCGGGCGUUAUCCGGAUUUAUUGGGUUUAAAGGGAGCGUAGGCUGGAGAUUAAGUGUGUUGUGAAAUGUAGACGCUCAACGUCUGACUUGCAGCGCAUACUGGUUUCCUUGAGUACGCACAACGUUGGCGGAAUUCGUCGUGUAGCGGUGAAAUGCUUAGAUAUGACGAAGAACUCCGAUUGCGAAGGCAGCUGACGGGAGCGCAACUGACGCUGAAGCUCGAAGGUGCGGGUAUCGAACAGGAUUAGAUACCCUGGUAGUCCGCACAGUAAACGAUGGAUGCCCGCUGUUGGUACCUGGUAUCAGCGGCUAAGCGAAAGCAUUAAGCAUCCCACCUGGGGAGUACGCCGGCAACGGUGAAACUCAAAGGAAUUGACGGGGGCCCGCACAAGCGG